CACAGCCCUAUCCACCGGCGGGAAACGGGCCGCGGAGCGCGAGGAGGGGCCGCGCGAGGACACCAAGUGGCCCCUCACGGCGCCCUGGCCUCCCUACCAUCCGGGAGGACCAGUGGCCCAGCGGCCAGUUUCAGCGGAUUGGCGGAGCCCAGAGGAUGGACUCCGCCUCUUCCGAAGGACAGACAAUCUAGAUGCUGGCCGCCGCCGGGUCCUCUCCAGCUCAGUCAACGUCACCUUUAGGGACGAGGACCUGGUAUGCGUCUCUGCAGGGUUCCUGGAGCCCCCUUACUCCAGCCAUAAUACCACCGUCCUUAUACUUGGCGAUAGCAGGCACACACCCCUGGAACUUGACAUCUUUCCAGAAGUGGUGUGCUUUCCACCGGGGUUCGAGGUAACGGUCUCCGUUACGUGUCAUAGCCCGCCAUUCACGCUGGAGAAGGGAGUUCCUCUUGCCCUAAUGUAUAUUUUGGACAGCACAGCCGACGAACUCGAUCAGGACCGGGGUGGGGGGGACAAAUAUGUUUUCCUCACCCAAAAUGUAUGCCGAGAAAGACCAUUAAUCGAUACCAUCAUCUCUCAGCAGGGGAAGUCCAUCUCACUCAAACUAAUGGCAGACACCGGAGCAGAUGUCACCAUCAUUCCCAGGGCAAAGUGGCCUCGCGACUGGGAGUUGGUGUCCCCUUGUGGCACUAUCUCUGGAGUGGGUGGAGCGGUCAAUUCCCUUCGUAGCCGACAUCUGGUAAGCGUGGAGGGCCCGGAGGGACAAAUAGCCACGGUGAGACCCUUUGUCGUCUCAUCGAAUAUUAUGCUGUUGGGAAGGGAUGUUUUGUCCCAGUGGGGUGCCCGUCUGGACAUUCCUUGCCCUGCGUGGGAUUUUUAGUAUGGGCCACUGCGGAGCGCACCUCCCCACCGCUGAAUUGGAAAACUGAUAAUCCGGUGUGGGUAGACCAGUGGCCCCUUCCAGAAGAAAAAUUAAUAGCGCUCAACAACUUGGUAGAGGAGCAGGUACGCCAGGGGCAUUUAAUACCUUCCACCAGUCCCUGGAACACACCUGUCUUUGUAAUAAAGAAACCU
RNAcentral lists this long non-coding RNA (1074 nucleotides) under Lonchura striata (white-rumped munia). Its description in RNAcentral is "domestica (Bengalese finch) lncRNA (ENSLSDG00000017599.1)". The record is from RNAcentral. Lineage: Eukaryota; Metazoa; Chordata; Aves; Passeriformes; Estrildidae.